This 825-nucleotide ribosomal RNA is filed under the name Thelonectria amamiensis. Its description in RNAcentral is "eukaryotic LSU rRNA". It matches the Rfam family "Eukaryotic large subunit ribosomal RNA", at positions 81 to 934 of the family's 3401-position model. Lineage: Eukaryota; Fungi; Ascomycota; Sordariomycetes; Hypocreales; Nectriaceae. The record is from RNAcentral.
UAGUAACGGCGAGUGAAGCGGCAACAGCUCAAAUUUGAAAUCUGGCCCUCGGGUCCGAGUUGUAAUUUGUAGAGGAUGCUUUUGGCAAGGUGCCUUCCGAGUUCCCUGGAACGGGACGCCAUAGAGGGUGAGAGCCCCGUCUGGUCGGACACCGCGCCUCUGUAAAGCUCCUUCGACGAGUCGAGUAGUUUGGGAAUGCUGCUCUAAAUGGGAGGUAUAUGUCUUCUAAAGCUAAAUAUUGGCCAGAGACCGAUAGCGCACAAGUAGAGUGAUCGAAAGAUGAAAAGCACUUUGAAAAGAGAGUUAAAAAGUACGUGAAAUUGUUGAAAGGGAAGCGAUUAUGACCAGACUUGGGCCUGUUUGAUCAACUUGGGUUCUCCCGGGUGCACUCUCUCAGGCCUAGGCCAGCAUCAGUUCGUCGCGGGGGACAAAGGUUGCGGGAAUGUGGCUCCCCUCGGGGAGUGUUAUAGCCCGUUUCGUAAUACCCUGCCUCGGACUGAGGUUCGCGCAUUUUGCAAGGAUGCUGGCGUAAUGGUCAUCAUCGACCCGUCUUGAAACACGGACCAAGGAGUCGUCUUCGUAUGCGAGUGUUCGGGUGUUAAACCCCUACGCGGAAUGAAAGUGAACGCAGGUGAGAGCUUCGGCGCAUCAUCGACCGAUCCUGAUGUUCUCGGAUGGAUUUGAGUAAGAGCAUACGGAGCCGGACCCGAAAGAAGGUGAACUAUGCCUGUAUAGGGUGAAGUCAGAGGAAACUCUGAUGGAGGCUCGCAGCGGUUCUGACGUGCAAAUCGAUCGUCAAAUAUGGGCAUGGGGGCGAAAGACUAA